Molecule: transfer RNA, 77 nt
Filed under: Enterobacter sp. EA-1
Lineage: Bacteria; Pseudomonadati; Pseudomonadota; Gammaproteobacteria; Enterobacterales; Enterobacteriaceae
Description: tRNA-Asn
Rfam family: tRNA
About the family: Transfer RNA (tRNA) molecules are approximately 80 nucleotides in length.
Source: RNAcentral
UCCUCUGUAGUUCAGUCGGUAGAACGGCGGACUGUUAAUCCGUAUGUCACUGGUUCGGAGUCCAGUCAGAGGAGCUA